CACUCCUACGGGAGGCAGCAGUGAGGAAUAUUGGACAAUGGGUGGAAGCCUGAUCCAGCCAUCCCGCGUGCAGGAAGACGGCCCUAUGGGUUGUAAACUGCUUUUAUCUGGGGAUAAACCUACUUACGUGUAAGUAGCUGAAGGUACCAGAAGAAUAAGCACCGGCUAACUCCGUGCCAGCAGCCGCGGUAAUACGGAGGGUGCAAGCGUUAUCCGGAUUUAUUGGGUUUAAAGGGUCCGUAGGCGGACUGAUAAGUCAGUGGUGAAAUCCGACAGCUUAACUGUCGAACUGCCAUUGAUACUGUUAGUCUUGAGUAAGGUUGAAGUGGCUGGAAUAAGUAGUGUAGCGGUGAAAUGCAUAGAUAUUACUUAGAACACCAAUUGCGAAGGCAGGUCACUAAGUCUUAACUGACGCUGAUGGACGAAAGCGUGGGGAGCGAACAGGAUUAGAAACCCUAGUAGUCC
RNAcentral lists this ribosomal RNA (465 nucleotides) under uncultured organism. RNAcentral's name for it is "partial 16S ribosomal RNA". It matches the Rfam family "Bacterial small subunit ribosomal RNA", at positions 334 to 796 of the family's 1533-position model. The record is from RNAcentral.